This 557-nucleotide ribosomal RNA is filed under the name Mycobacterium tuberculosis. Its description in RNAcentral is "bacterial LSU rRNA". The stretch from base 70 to 557 matches the Rfam family "Bacterial large subunit ribosomal RNA", at positions 1 to 438 of the family's 2925-position model. The record is from RNAcentral. Lineage: Bacteria; Bacillati; Actinomycetota; Actinomycetes; Mycobacteriales; Mycobacteriaceae.
CAUCAAUGGAUACGCUGCCGGCUAGCGGUGGCGUGUUCUUUGUGCAAUAUUCUUUGGUUUUUGUUGUGUAUGUAAGUGUCUAAGGGCGCAUGGUGGAUGCCUUGGCAUCGAGAGCCGAUGAAGGACGUGGGAGGCUGCGAUAUGCCUCGGGGAGCUGUCAACCGAGCGUGGAUCCGAGGAUUUCCGAAUGGGGAAACCCAGCACGAGUGAUGUCGUGCUACCCGCAUCUGAAUAUAUAGGGUGCGGGAGGGAACGCGGGGAAGUGAAACAUCUCAGUACCCGUAGGAGGAGAAAACAAUUGUGAUUCCGCAAGUAGUGGCGAGCGAACGCGGAACAGGCUAAACCGCACGCAUGGGUAACCGGGUAGGGGUUGUGUGUGCGGGGUUGUGGGAGGAUAUGUCUCAGCUGCUACCCGGCUGAGAGGCAGUCAGAAAGUGUCGUGGUUAGCGGAAGUGGCCUGGGAUGGUCUGCCGUAGACGGUGAGAGCCCGGUACGCGAAAACCCGGCACCUGCCUAGUAUCAAUUCCCGAGUAGCAGCGGGCCCGUGGAAUCCGCUG